GCGUACUCCGAUGCACUGACCAACCCAUGGACAGUGAUGAUCAAAUCUCUGAAUGCAGUUGUUGCAGAUCGAACAAUGAGAAGCACGAGGAGGACGAUAAAGCAAACAAGUAUCGCAGUACUUAACUUUCACUGUAUGGCCAUUUACCAUAACAUCUUUUGUCCGGGGUAGUUUUAAAUGAGGGGUUCUGCCAUUGACCCAUUCCAUAGAAGGAGUAGCUGCAUCAAAUGCUUCAUCUGAUUCAGGAGGCCGUGAAUUUCUACAGACUAUUCCGGGAUCUCGACUAGAGGUCAAGAAGAGAAAGACUAAAUCUAAUAUAGUAAAGAUUGAGCCCACAAUUAACACAGGAUACCAAUGGUCAGG
This 363-nucleotide unclassified non-coding RNA is filed under the name Hevea brasiliensis (rubber tree). Lineage: Eukaryota; Viridiplantae; Streptophyta; Magnoliopsida; Malpighiales; Euphorbiaceae. The record is from RNAcentral.